AAAAUCCCGCAACUCAAAAAGUGUAAAACCAUACUGAUGAUCGGAGCCAAGGAUUGACUAAUGUAGUGAUAAACACGGGCAAUGAAAGCAUCUGAUAAAGGCAUAGUAUAUUGCGGCUCCCUGAUAAAAUUAAAUUUUCAAUGUUGGGACAGUUUCAGUGGCCCAGAGUCUAGAGGGUUGAGGGGCUUUGAAAUUGUUUAAUUGAAAUGUAUAGCUGGAACGCCUGUCAUGUAUGUUGGAGUUUGAAAAGUCAUUUUGCGUACUUUGACGCACAGAAGCAGGUGUAGCAUUACCCGAGACAGAAGAAGUAACUCCUUCAUUAGAAUAGACUGAAUUAGGGGUCAUUGGGGAGUCUGAAAUAAGAGGUACCACACUAUCAAGACGUGGGGUGAUUUGAGGAAGGAAAUUCUUUCCAUAAAAUGGUGAUUGUGUUCCACUAGAAGGAUAGGACUUUUCAUCUUCCAUUGUUUGCUCUUCUAAUUCAAGUGCAUCCUUUUCAAACUCCUUUACUUUACAAGACUCGUAUAAAUUGCCCUUUUUACUGCGAUCAUACAACCAGAGACCGAUAGCUGUCAAAAAGAUACCACUUCCUUGGGUAAAAUUUGUAGCUUGUUGAAACCAAAUGAUGGAAACUACAAUCACGAAAAUGCGCUUGAUGAGACUUGCUAUGGAAUAUGCAACAGGAGAAAUUAUGCUUAAUAGGGUAAAAGCCAGAAUAUUUUGAAAAAAAUGAGAAAGACCAUUGUAGAUCAAAUUUAGGAAAAC
Non-coding RNA from Schizosaccharomyces pombe (fission yeast), 765 nucleotides. Lineage: Eukaryota; Fungi; Ascomycota; Schizosaccharomycetes; Schizosaccharomycetales; Schizosaccharomycetaceae. The record is from the annotation of a GenBank genome assembly.